RNAcentral lists this ribosomal RNA (373 nucleotides) under uncultured organism. Its description in RNAcentral is "partial 16S ribosomal RNA". It matches the Rfam family "Bacterial small subunit ribosomal RNA", at positions 527 to 896 of the family's 1533-position model. The record is from RNAcentral.
GUAGGUGGCAAGCGUUGUCCGGAAUUAUUGGGGCGUAAAGCGCGCGCAGGCGGUUCUUUAAGUCUGAUGUGAAAGCCCACGGGCUCAACCGUGGAGGGUCAUUGGAAACUGGAGAACUUGAGUACAGAAGAGGAAAGCGGAAUUCCACGUGUAGCGGUGAAAUGCGUAGAGAUGUGGAGGAACACCAGUGGCGAAGGCGGCUUUCUGGUCUGUAACUGACGCUGAGGCGCGAAAGCGUGGGGAGCAAACAGGAUUAGAUACCCUGGUAGUCCACGCCGUAAGCGAUGAGUGCUAAGUGUUAGGGGGUUUCCGCCCCUUAGUGCUGCAGCUAACGCAUUAAGCACUCCGCCUGGGGAGUACGGCCGCAAGGCUG